This 30-nucleotide non-coding RNA is filed under the name Rattus norvegicus (Norway rat). Lineage: Eukaryota; Metazoa; Chordata; Mammalia; Rodentia; Muridae. The record is from RNAcentral.
UCCUAGGAUUCUAAGUAUGUGCUGCCAUGC